Potamilus streckersoni is the source of this 70-nucleotide non-coding RNA. Lineage: Eukaryota; Metazoa; Mollusca; Bivalvia; Unionida; Unionidae. The record is from the annotation of a GenBank genome assembly.
GGUGGCCUAGUGGUUAGAGUGACCGCCUCGGCUGCGGGAGGUUGCGGGUUCGAACCCCUGAUCAGAUAUA